Molecule: ribosomal RNA, 562 nt
Filed under: Meyerozyma guilliermondii
Lineage: Eukaryota; Fungi; Ascomycota; Pichiomycetes; Serinales; Debaryomycetaceae
Description: eukaryotic LSU rRNA
Rfam family: 5.8S ribosomal RNA (bases 217-370)
Source: RNAcentral
AAAGUCGUAACAAGGUUUCCGUAGGUGAACCUGCGGAAGGAUCAUUACAGUAUUCUUUUGCCAGCGCUUAACUGCGCGGCGAAAAACCUUACACACAGUGUCUUUUUGAUACAGAACUCUUGCUUUGGUUUGGCCUAGAGAUAGGUUGGGCCAGAGGUUUAACAAAACACAAUUUAAUUAUUUUUACAGUUAGUCAAAUUUUGAAUUAAUCUUCAAAACUUUCAACAACGGAUCUCUUGGUUCUCGCAUCGAUGAAGAACGCAGCGAAAUGCGAUAAGUAAUAUGAAUUGCAGAUUUUCGUGAAUCAUCGAAUCUUUGAACGCACAUUGCGCCCUCUGGUAUUCCAGAGGGCAUGCCUGUUUGAGCGUCAUUUCUCUCUCAAACCCCCGGGUUUGGUAUUGAGUGAUACUCUUAGUCGGACUAGGCGUUUGCUUGAAAAGUAUUGGCAUGGGUAGUACUGGAUAGUGCUGUCGACCUCUCAAUGUAUUAGGUUUAUCCAACUCUGUUGAAUGGUGUGGCGGGAUAUUUCUGGUAUUGUUGGCCCGGCCUUACAACAACCAAA